GACGAACGCUGGCGGUGUGCUUAACACAUGCAAGUCGAACGGUAAGGCCCUUUCGGGGGUACACGAGUGGCGAACGGGUGAGUAACACGUGAGUAACCUGCCCUCAUCUCUGGGAUAACAGUCGGAAACGGUUGCUAAUACUGGAUAUGAGCUUGCAAGGCAUCUUGUGGGUUGGAAAGAUUUUUUUUGGUUGGGGAUGGACUCGCGGCCUAUCAGCUUGUUGGUGAGGUAGUGGCUCACCAAGGAUUCGACGGGUAGCCGGCCUGAGAGGGCGACCGGCCACAUUGGGACUGAGAUACGGCCCAAACUCCUACGGGAGGCAGCAGUGGGGAAUAUUGCACAAUGGACGGAAGUCUGAUGCAGCAACGCCGCGUGCGGGAUGACGGCCUUCGGGUUGUAAACCGCUUUCAAUUGUGACGAAGCUUUUUUGUGACGGUAGCAGUAGAAGAAGCACCGGCUAACUACGUG
This 468-nucleotide ribosomal RNA is filed under the name uncultured bacterium. RNAcentral's name for it is "partial 16S ribosomal RNA". It matches the Rfam family "Bacterial small subunit ribosomal RNA", at positions 28 to 507 of the family's 1533-position model. The record is from RNAcentral.